ACUUUUUGUGAUGUCAUAAAAGCCUCCCGAGAACUCACAAUGAACAACAGACACAACCUUGCUGUUUCCCAGCACAUUUAGGACAUUCACCAACUGACAUUACUCUAUAUCAUUGUCAAAGUUAAUGGAGAACCAAAAAAUACCAAAGGGAAACCAAAGACAUAUAGCUUUUGCAACAAAACUAUUUAGAGGGGGCCCCCAAGUUGAAGAAACACCAAAGCUUCACAAAUGCAAGAGUGUCAGGCUUAAGUGUCACCCACAUAAGUCUGAACCAGCUGGUCUGAUUGAGAAAACAUUGCAAGAAGCUGAUGCUUUCUGUAGACGAGAAGGAGCACAACAUUCAGAAGACCUUAACUGUGGCUAAGUGGAUGUUUCUGGGAAGCCUACGAGCAAGUUUUGAAAGCAGUAGCCUUGGAAACAACAACAGUCCCCUGAAUGGCGUUGCUACCACCUUAGCAACUGUCAUGUUGCCCAUGAACCUGGGACACUUUUUAACCAUUAGCUAUUGCAGCCAUUCAUUCAUUUAUUUAUCUUCUAUUAAUUUGUGUAAGCUUCUUAAAAAUCACCACUAUUAUUGAGUACUGCUGUGGCAAUGAAUGCCACACAUUUGAUGUCAUAGCUUGCUUUCCUUUGUACUGUAUCAAACGCUAAUAAGUUUCAUUUGGUAACCCCCAACAGAGUUAUUAUUUCAUUUGGUAACUCCAAGGUUAUGGGAUACUGCAGACCACUGGUUCCCAACCUUGGGUCCCCAGAUGUUCUUGGACUAGAAGCGUUCAGCAUUAGCUGUGCUGGUCAGGAUUUCUGGGAAUUGUAGCCCAAGAACAUCUGGGGACCCGAAAUUGGGAAUCACUGCUGAAAACAAUGUUCUAACGGUGGCUACAUCAUGCAUACAUCUAGCCAUGGCAUUACAGUACUGGCCAUCUUAUUUCUGGGUUUUUUAUGACACUUGGAAUUUUUUGCCAUUUAUU
RNAcentral lists this long non-coding RNA (968 nucleotides) under Pogona vitticeps (central bearded dragon). RNAcentral describes it as "lncRNA (ENSPVIG00000022062.1)". The record is from RNAcentral. Lineage: Eukaryota; Metazoa; Chordata; Lepidosauria; Squamata; Agamidae.